CAGCCGCCGCGGUAAUACGUAGGUGGCAAGCGUUGUCCGGAAUUAUUGGGCGUAAAGGGCUCGCAGGCGGUUUCUUAAGUCUGAUGUGAAAGCCCCCGGCUCAACCGGGGAGGGUCAUUGGAAACUGGGAAACUUGAGUGCAGAAGAGGAGAGUGGAAUUCCACGCGUAGCGGUGAAAUGCGUAGAGAUGUGGAGGAACACCAGUGGCGAAGGCGACUCUCUGGUCUGUAACUGACGCUGAGGAGCGAAAGCGUGGGGAGCGAACAGGAUUAGAUACCCCCGUAGUCCCUGUCUCUUAUAA
This 301-nucleotide ribosomal RNA is filed under the name uncultured bacterium. RNAcentral's name for it is "partial 16S ribosomal RNA". It matches the Rfam family "Bacterial small subunit ribosomal RNA", at positions 509 to 809 of the family's 1533-position model. The record is from RNAcentral.